UUAGUACUCCCUCCGUCCGAAAAAGACUUGUCCUUCAAAUGAAUGUAUCUAGCAUCAAGUUAGUGCUAUAUACAUUCAUUUGAGAAACAAGCUUGGGACAAGCUUUUCCGGACGGAGGGAGUAGCAC
Triticum urartu is the source of this 127-nucleotide non-coding RNA. The record is from Rfam. Lineage: Eukaryota; Viridiplantae; Streptophyta; Magnoliopsida; Poales; Poaceae.